RNAcentral lists this ribosomal RNA (177 nucleotides) under uncultured bacterium. RNAcentral's name for it is "partial 16S ribosomal RNA". It matches the Rfam family "Bacterial small subunit ribosomal RNA", at positions 354 to 525 of the family's 1533-position model. The record is from RNAcentral.
UGAGUGAAUAUUGGACAAUGGGCGCAAGCCUGAUCCAGCCAUGCCGCGUGCAGUGAUGACGUGUCCUAUGGAUUGUAAACUGCUUUUGUACAGGAAGAAACACUCCCUCGUGAGUGGAGCUUGACGGUACUGUAAGAAUAAGGAUCGGCUAACUCCGUGCCAGCAGCCGCGGUAAUA